UGACCGCCCUUCUGCCGGAAGGGCCAAGGCUACACGGACGGCCGGGUCAAAUGCCGA
This 57-nucleotide small RNA is filed under the name uncultured Dysosmobacter sp. RNAcentral describes it as "Streptococcus sRNA SpF59 (ldcC RNA)". It matches the Rfam family "Streptococcus sRNA SpF59 (ldcC RNA)". Lineage: Bacteria; Bacillati; Bacillota; Clostridia; Eubacteriales; Oscillospiraceae. The record is from RNAcentral.